CUACGGGACGCUGCAGUGAGGAAUUUUGCGCAAUGGGGGAAACCCUGACGCAGCAACGCCGCGUGAGCGAAGAAGGCCCUCGGGUCGUAAAGCUCUGUCAAGUGGGAAAAAAAUUUUUUGAUCAAUAGUCAAAAGACUUGAUGGUACCACUGGAGGAAGCACCGGCUAACUCCGUGCCAGCAGCCGCGGUAAUACGGAGGGUGCAAGCGUUGUUCGGAUUUACUGGGCGUAAAGAGCGUGUAGGCGGUUUAGCAAGUCAGAUGUGAAAGCCCUGGGCUCAACCCGGGAAGUGCAUUUGAAACUGCUUCACUAGAGUAUGGGAGAGGAGAUUGGAAUGCCUGGUGUAGAGGUGAAAUUCGUAGAUAUCAGGAGGAACACCCGUGGCGAAGGCGAUUCUCUGGACCAAUACUGACGCUGAGACGCGAAAGCGUGGGGAGCAAACAGGAUUAGAUACCCCCGUAGUC
Molecule: ribosomal RNA, 464 nt
Filed under: uncultured bacterium
Lineage: Bacteria
Description: partial 16S ribosomal RNA
Rfam family: Bacterial small subunit ribosomal RNA
Source: RNAcentral